RNAcentral lists this ribosomal RNA (362 nucleotides) under uncultured bacterium. RNAcentral's name for it is "partial 16S ribosomal RNA". It matches the Rfam family "Bacterial small subunit ribosomal RNA", at positions 338 to 698 of the family's 1533-position model. The record is from RNAcentral.
CCUACGGGGUGCAGCAGUGAGGAAUAUUGGUCAAUGGGCGGGAGCCUGAACCAGCCAAGCCGCGUGCAGGAAGAAGGCGCCAGGCGUCGUAAACUUCUUUUGUCGGGGAACAAAGGGCGCCACGCGUGGCGUUGUGAGUGUACCCGAAGAAAAAGCAUCGGCCAACUCCGUGCCAGCAGCCGCGGUAAUACGGAGGAUGCGAGCGUUAUGCGGAUUUAUGGGGUUUAAAGGGUGCGUAGGGGGACCGGAAAGUCAGCGGUAAAAGCCCGGGGCUCAACCCCGGCCAGCCGUUGAAACUGUGGGACUAGAGACGGUGAGAGGUACGCGGAAUGCGUGGUGUAGCGGUGAAAUGCAUAGAUAUC